UACAGAGGGGCAAGCGUUAUUCGGAAUUAUUGGGCGUAAAGCGCGCGUAGGUGGCCACAUAAGUCCGUUGUGAAAGUCAAAAGGGCUCAACCUUUGAAAGCCGAUGGAUACUGUGUGGCUAGAGUACGGAAGAGGCGAGUGGAAUUCCUGGUGUAGCGGUGGAAUGCGCAGAUAUCAGGAGGAACACCAAUAGCGAAGGCAGCUCGCUGGGACGUUACUGACACUGGAGGCGCGAAAGCGUGGGGAGCGAACAGG
RNAcentral lists this ribosomal RNA (255 nucleotides) under uncultured bacterium. RNAcentral describes it as "partial 16S ribosomal RNA". It matches the Rfam family "Bacterial small subunit ribosomal RNA", at positions 524 to 776 of the family's 1533-position model. The record is from RNAcentral.